Molecule: long non-coding RNA, 783 nt
Organism: Neopsephotus bourkii (Bourke's parrot)
Lineage: Eukaryota; Metazoa; Chordata; Aves; Psittaciformes; Psittacidae
Exons: 2
Source: RefSeq, a predicted model, not a curated record
GUUGCCAUCAUGGUUAAUAAUACGUUAAUUAUGUCAAAUCAUCAUAAGUAUGAACAAAUAUUCUUCAAAAAAAAAAAAAGUCAGUUACAAAAAUGACAACUUAGAAUCCAGUUAUAAAAGAUGAAAAUAUAAAGGACAAUGAUCAAGUUGGUCAAAUGCUUCAACAUUUCAUCAGCAAAAAGAUCCUUGUAUAAUUUUAUAUUUUAACAUAAGAUUUUUAAUAAGUGGCUGUGGUUCUUUUACAAACUUCAAAUAAACUUUAGCAUAUAUUUUUGUGCUACUUAUCUAAGUUAUUCUAAAGUAAUACAUAAAAAUCUAGGACAGAGCAAAGAUUUACAUUUCUGUGUUUUGAGAAGGCUAACAAGACAUUGAGCCAUUACUGUAACUGAAAUAAUAAUAGACCUCAAACCAUGAACCAAAUGCAAAAAGUAUUUAGGAAUACCCUAUUUACUUAUAGGAAUCCUAUUCUAAGAUUAAGGCCUGAAAUUACUUUUAGAAAACCAAAGUCUCAAAUUGCUUCUGACACCAGCGAUUUAAGGCUCAACAAAGAAUAGACUAGUAUCUAACAACUUUUAAACACUUGGGCCUAUGUGAUUGUAUAGUUUCAAAAGUGACCUAGGAAUUCAGAAGUCUCAUUUUCAUAGACAUUUGAUACUUCGGGAAAUAUUAUUUUUAAUAGGAUUUAUAGCACAAGUGAGAAACUCUAAGCAUUAGCUAGAGUUUGGUGCUCAAAUGAGUUAAACACUUUUCCAAGUUAGACAUUAAGUAAUAAAAAAAAUAAAA